RNAcentral lists this long non-coding RNA (239 nucleotides) under Elaeis guineensis (African oil palm). Its description in RNAcentral is "long non-coding RNA (EGUI_LNC050583)". Lineage: Eukaryota; Viridiplantae; Streptophyta; Magnoliopsida; Arecales; Arecaceae. The record is from RNAcentral.
CUAGGUCAGUAGAGAAGUGCCUCCAAUUCUUAAAGGCCCUUAAGUAGAUCAAGGACUUUCAAUGGAUGGUAUAAUUCCAGUCCGUGUUUGAUUAGUUUUGAGAGUAUCUUAUCUCGGCCCUGCUCCUGAUCAGACCUUCCAUCAGGGAGAUGCUAUAUCUAUACCUCACUGUCUCCUCCAUAGCUAUGAGCUUAGUUCUCAUCUGAGAGGAGGGACUACAAAAGCCAAUCUACUACACA